Molecule: ribosomal RNA, 1352 nt
Filed under: uncultured bacterium
Lineage: Bacteria
Description: bacterial SSU rRNA
Rfam family: Bacterial small subunit ribosomal RNA
Source: RNAcentral
AUUGAACGCUGGCGGCAUGCCUUACACAUGCAAGUCGAACGGCAGCACGGAGCUUGCUCUGGUGGCGAGUGGCGAACGGGUGAGUAAUAUAUCGGAACGUACCCUAGAGUGGGGGAUAACGUAGCGAAAGUUACGCUAAUACCGCAUACGAUCUAAGGAUGAAAGUGGGGGAUCGCAAGACCUCAUGCUCGUGGAGCGGCCGAUAUCUGAUUAGCUAGUUGGUAGGGUAAAAGCCUACCAAGGCAUCGAUCAGUAGCUGGUCUGAGAGGACGACCAGCCACACUGGAACUGAGACACGGUCCAGACUCCUACGGGAGGCAGCAGUGGGGAAUUUUGGACAAUGGGCGAAAGCCUGAUCCAGCAAUGCCGCGUGAGUGAAGAAGGCCUUCGGGUUGUAAAGCUCUUUUGUCAGGGAAGAAACGGUGAGAGCUAAUAUCUCUUGCUAAUGACGGUACCUGAAGAAUAAGCACCGGCUAACUACGUGCCAGCAGCCGCGGUAAUACGUAGGGUGCAAGCGUUAAUCGGAAUUACUGGGCGUAAAGCGUGCGCAGGCGGUUCUGUAAGUCUGAUGUGAAAUCCCCGGGCUCAACCUGGGAAUUGCAUUGGAGACUGCAAGGCUAGAAUCUGGCAGAGGGGGGUAGAAUUCCACGUGUAGCAGUGAAAUGCGUAGAUAUGUGGAGGAACACCGAUGGCGAAGGCAGCCCCCUGGGUCAAGAUUGACGCUCAUGCACGAAAGCGUGGGGAGCAAACAGGAUUAGAUACCCUGGUAGUCCACGCCCUAAACGAUGUCUACUAGUUGUCGGGUCUUAAUUGACUUGGUAACGCAGCUAACGCGUGAAGUAGACCGCCUGGGGAGUACGGUCGCAAGAUUAAAACUCAAAGGAAUUGACGGGGACCCGCACAAGCGGUGGAUGAUGUGGAUUAAUUCGAUGCAACGCGAAAAACCUUACCUACCCUUGACAUGGCUGGAAUCCCCGAGAGAUUGGGGAGUGCUCGAAAGAGAACCAGUACACAGGUGCUGCAUGGCUGUCGUCAGCUCGUGUCGUGAGAUGUUGGGUUAAGUCCCGCAACGAGCGCAACCCUUGUCAUUAGUUGCUACGAAAGGGCACUCUAAUGAGACUGCCGGUGACAAACCGGAGGAAGGUGGGGAUGACGUCAAGUCCUCAUGGCCCUUAUGGGUAGGGCUUCACACGUCAUACAAUGGUACAUACAGAGCGCCGCCAACCCGCGAGGGGGAGCUAAUCGCAGAAAGUGUAUCGUAGUCCGGAUUGUAGUCUGCAACUCGACUGCAUGAAGUUGGAAUCGCUAGUAAUCGCGGAUCAGCAUGUCGCGGUGAAUACGUUCCCGGGUCU